AACUUGCGUAAGCUGAGAAACUUCAGAACAGCCAACAAAUAACAAUAAUUAGCUUUCCAAGACAUCUGAUUACAUUUCAGGUUUAAAUUCUAUUAAAAAAAUAUAUACACAAUGGAACUACAUUAUGUUAUACAUCUGAAAUACAUUAUUAUACAUCUGAAUUGCAAUGUAUUGCUCUUAUAAUAGUGUUAAAAGAACUUGGGUGAAUCUGGGCUAAGGAAGAAUGCAAACUAGCAUAUGUAUAUGUAUUCCAAUUAUUGUAUAUACAUAUACAUAUAUACUGAUAUAUCAAUUAAAAGGAACAUCUAACCUAACAAAACUGUGA
RNAcentral lists this unclassified non-coding RNA (325 nucleotides) under Hevea brasiliensis (rubber tree). Lineage: Eukaryota; Viridiplantae; Streptophyta; Magnoliopsida; Malpighiales; Euphorbiaceae. The record is from RNAcentral.